This is a long non-coding RNA of Saccostrea echinata, 726 nucleotides long. RefSeq lists it as uncharacterized. The transcript has 3 exons. The record is from RefSeq and is a predicted model, not a curated record. NCBI's taxonomy places the organism in Eukaryota, Metazoa, Mollusca, Bivalvia, Ostreida, Ostreidae.
CAAGAGAUCUUAUUUUCUUCAGCAUGUUUGGAUGAUUAAGCCAAUUCCUACUUGUUUUAAAGUUCAAUAACAUGUAACUGUGUUAAAUGUGCUCUGUUUGUCUGGAUAAUUCUACACAAACCGCCAAUGGUGGACUUGAACAGAUCGAUAUCGCAGUUGUUUGGUGCAAGAACAUAGAAUGAUACUUGGUUUUGCCUGCCCUCAUCAAAAUAUUUUGUGAGGAAAAAAGGAUUUUACAUUUGAAAAGACGAUCCUGCAUAUUUGCUGCUGUACAUAUUGCAGUUCAUCUCAUCUGCUGCUGGAAUAAAUAUGAAAGAUGUUCAAACCACUAAACAAGAGCCCCCUAGAGUCUGAAAUCAUGAUGAUUUUAUUAAGGAGAUCAGUGUGUGAAGUAUUUGUUUUCUGUGCAUUGUUGACAAUUUUGAAACUGUUCGGUUACUUAUGACUAGCUCUUUGACACAAACUUUGACAUUUGAAAUUCAAUUUGAGCGAUGGACAAGGAGGCGAAAUCAUAUGCAUGUAAAACAUCAUACGAUUGGAAAAAGACAAUGAUAAACUUAAAUUUAAAAAGAUUUCAUGUACAUGUAUCUGUGAGCUUGGCAUUGAAAUACCUGUAUACUUCUGAUGAAUUUGUCUCAUAAUGGAACAUUCAAUUGUUAUACAUUGUAGAUAAAAAAAAUUGUAGAUGAGAUUUAUUUGGCCCAAAAUAUAUAUAUUUAACACUGA